ACUCAAAGGAAUUGACGGGGGCCCGCACAAGCGGUGGAGCAUGUGGUUUAAUUCGACGCAACGCGAAGAACCUUACCUGGGCUUGACAUGCUUAAGGAACCCGGUGGAAACACCGGGCCCUCUUCGGAGCUUAAGCACAGGUGCUGCAUGGCUGUCGUCAGCUCGUGUCGUGAGAUGUUGGGUUAAGUCCCGCAACGAGCGCAACCCCCGCCCCUAGUUGCCAGCGCGUGAUGGCGGGGACUCUAGGGGGACUGCCGGUGCCAAACCGGAGGAGGGUGGGGACGACGUCAAGUCAUCAUGGUCCUUACGCCCAGGGCCACACACGUGCUACAAUGGCCGGUACAGAGGGUCGCGAGCCCGCGAGGGGGAGCCAAUCCCCGAAAGCCGGCCUCAGUGCGGAUCGGAGGCUGCAACCCGCCUCCGUGAAGCUGGAAUCGCUAGUAAUCGUGGAUCAGCCACGCCACGGUGAAUACGUUCCCGGGCCUUGUACACACCGCCCGU
Molecule: ribosomal RNA, 501 nt
Filed under: uncultured bacterium
Lineage: Bacteria
Description: partial 16S ribosomal RNA
Rfam family: Bacterial small subunit ribosomal RNA
Source: RNAcentral